UGGGGAAUAUUGCACAAUGGGCGCAAGCCUGAUGCAGCAACGCCGCGUGAGGGACGACGGCCUUCGGGUUGUAAACCUCUUUUGGCAGGGAAGAAGCGAAAGUGACGGUACCUGCAGAAAAAGCACCGGCUAACUACGUGCCAGCAGCCGAGGUGAUACGUAGGGUGCAAGCGUUGUCCGGCAUUAUUGGGCGUAAAGAGCUCGUAGGCGGUUUGUCGCGUCUGCUGUGAAAACCCGAGGCUCAACCUCGGGCCUGCAGUGGGUACGGGCAAACUAGAGUGCGGUAGGGGAGAUUGGAAUUCCUGGUGUAGCGGUGGAAUGCGCAGAUAUCAGGAGGAACACCUAUGGCGAAGGCAGAUCUCUGGGCCGUAACUGACGCUGAGGCGCGAAAGCAUGGGGAGCGAACA
This 407-nucleotide ribosomal RNA is filed under the name uncultured bacterium. RNAcentral's name for it is "bacterial SSU rRNA". It matches the Rfam family "Bacterial small subunit ribosomal RNA", at positions 355 to 774 of the family's 1533-position model. The record is from RNAcentral.